CCGACCUUAGCUCAGUUGGUAGAGCGGAGGACUGUAGUUGAUGCAGAUAAUCCUUAGGUCACUGGUUCGAAUCCGGUAGGUCGGA
Molecule: transfer RNA, 85 nt
Filed under: Arabidopsis suecica
Lineage: Eukaryota; Viridiplantae; Streptophyta; Magnoliopsida; Brassicales; Brassicaceae
Description: tRNA-Tyr
Rfam family: tRNA
About the family: Transfer RNA (tRNA) molecules are approximately 80 nucleotides in length. Their secondary structure includes four short double-helical elements and three loops (D, anti-codon, and T loops).
Source: RNAcentral